Molecule: ribosomal RNA, 516 nt
Filed under: Actinomyces sp. HMSC075C01
Lineage: Bacteria; Bacillati; Actinomycetota; Actinomycetes; Actinomycetales; Actinomycetaceae
Description: bacterial LSU rRNA
Rfam family: Bacterial large subunit ribosomal RNA
Source: RNAcentral
UGUAGUGGCGCGUUCUGGACCCGAAGCGGGGUGAUCUACCCAUGGCCAGGUUGAAGCACGUGUAAGAGCGUGUGGAGGACCGAACCCACCUAGGUUGAAAACUGGGGGGAUGAGCUGUGGGUAGGGGUGAAAGGCCAAUCAAACUCCGUGAUAGCUGGUUCUCCCCGAAAUGCAUUUAGGUGCAGCGUUGCGUGUUGCCCGGCGGAGGUAGAGCUACUGGGUGGCUGAUGGGCCUUACAGGGUUACUGACGUCAACCAAACUCCGAAUGCCGCCUGGGUUGUAGCGUGGCAGUGAGACUGUGGGGGAUAAGCUCCGUGGUCGAGAGGGAAACAGCCCAGAUCGCCGGCUAAGGCCCCUAAGCGUGUGCUAAGUGGGAAAGGAUGUGCGGUCGCGCAGACAACCAGGAGGUUGGCUUAGAAGCAGCCAUCCUUGAAAGAGUGCGUAAUAGCUCACUGGUCAAGUGGUCGUGCGCCGACAAUGUAGCGGGGCUCAAGCACACCGCCGAAGCCGCGGAC